Molecule: ribosomal RNA, 283 nt
Filed under: Dialister succinatiphilus YIT 11850
Lineage: Bacteria; Bacillati; Bacillota; Negativicutes; Veillonellales; Veillonellaceae
Description: partial 16S ribosomal RNA
Rfam family: Bacterial small subunit ribosomal RNA
Source: RNAcentral
UAUGUUCCUUUUUUUCCCUCCGCCGAGGUAAUACGUAGGUGGCAAGCGUUGUCCGGAAUUAUUGGGCGUAAAGCGCGCGCAGGCGGCUUCUUAAGUCCAUCUUAAAAGUGCGGGGCUUAACCCCGUGAUGGGAUGGAAACUGGGAGGCUGGAGUAUCGGAGAGGAAAGUGGAAUUCCUAGUGUAGCGGUGAAAUGCGUAGAGAUUAGGAAGAACACCGGUGGCGAAGGCGACUUUCUGGACGACAACUGACGCUGAGGCGCGAAAGCGUGGGGAGCAAACAGG